Long non-coding RNA from Cyprinus carpio (common carp), 2593 nucleotides. RefSeq lists it as uncharacterized. The transcript has 11 exons. The record is from RefSeq and is a predicted model, not a curated record. NCBI's taxonomy places the organism in Eukaryota, Metazoa, Chordata, Actinopteri, Cypriniformes, Cyprinidae.
UCAUUCCUCCCCGCGGGUGGGCGCUGUUCAGCCUCAAUGGCUCCUAAACGAUGACCGAGGACGCGACCAUUCACAAAAGCAAGCGGUUCUCAAAUUGAUUUUUACUAGGUCACAAUGGACCCGUUUGACAGCUCCAGUGCUCUGGAGGGGCCAUCAAAGGCUGCGGCGACAAACACAGAGGUACCGGUGCCGCGGUCGCGCUUCUCUGCCUGGCUCGAGUGUGUGUGUGCGUCGUUACCCUCGACCAUCUGACAGUGUUUGUUUAAGUGUUUGUUUGUAACAUCACCACUGUAACCACAGCAACAGCAGCAGCAUCAUCACUGUGUAUCUCUAACAUUCUUUCGCUUGUUAUCAGCUCGUUUACCCUCAUGAUGUCAAACUCACAGAGAAAGAGAAAACAAUAAUCUGUUUCUUAUCGUUUCCUGACUCAUACUCAGGUAAUGUGCUGGCUCAGGCUGAUCUGAUCCGUGCUUUCAUGAUGAACAGCUGAAACAUGAGCAUGACAGCUCAGUCACAUGAGUGCAUGUCUAUCCCAGGAUGCCUCGGGGACACUCCGUUCAGCUUCAGACUGCAGCAGUAGCUCUUGGUUUGGACAGGAGGAUGUGUACAACAAGGAUGCACCUGUGACCCUGCAGAAGGAGCAUGCACAUUUCCACGGGUAUGUGUAUUUCAGUCUCUGGUGGUGGUGUCCAGAUUGCAGUUUGUGAACCUUUUCCAUUCGUUGCUGAAGGUCAUUGCUCCGGAGUGCUUUGAAAGCAAGAACCUUGUCUGGAGACAGAAUCUGCUCCCUGCCCCCACAGUUCUUCCAUCAGUUCACGAGUUGGAUCUUUUCAAAUGUUUCCAGUCAGUCCUGGUUCACGUGCAGAUGCUCUGGGAGCUCAUGUUGCUAGGAGAGCCUGUGGUUGUUAUGGCACCCUCUCCAACCGUCUCCUCAGAGACUGUGUUGGCCCUGGUCAGGGUACAUACACAGCAUACAAGACAUUUCUACACAAAGAUAGAGCCCUCAUCAAGCGACUUUUAAAAGGUAUCCAGAAAAAAAGGCCAUCAGAGGUGCAGAGCGCCAUUUUGAGGCGGCAUCUGUUGGAGCAAACGCAGAGUUUCAUUCUUCCGCUGGAACGGUAUUUGGAAAGCCUCAUGCCGCCACAGAGAUCUAUGUCUCCAUGGAAGUUUGACCCCUCCUCAGAUCCGGUCUUUCAGUCAGGAUGAAUUCAUGAAGACCCUGGAGCAAGCAGGGCCACAACUAACUCUGAAAGGAGACUGGACAGGCCUGUACAGACAAGAGCUCGAAAACACCAGCUCCCAGUUAAAGAAGAACUCCUGGAGAGAUCAGAGCAGUCCAUCAUCAUCUCCAUGCCAGAGGAUCUACAGACAUUAUUACACAGACAGAGGCAAUCAGACUGACCAGCAGAUCCACUGAUACAUACACAGAGACCGUCUUUCCAGAAAAUACCAGCUAUAUUUGAACCCAUAACACUUGCACAGGUACCAGCCCACAUUUCUUCUGGUAAACCCAUACACUACCUGAGAGUUCUUUAAUUUUGGAUGUACAGUACAGUUGAGAAACAACAGAUACUGCUGCUAUACAGGGUCCUAGAUGACACAUGAAGAACACAGAAAACAUUGAUACUUGGAUUAAAAUCAUUUGAAGUCCUCAGCUAGGCUUCACACUAGAUUUUAGAUGUCUGCUAAAUUACAUUUUAACGUGCACCAAGUAUUUAAAGCCUGCAGUCAGUUAGCACUGCAUGAACAAGGCAUUUAUUUUAUAAAUCAAUAUUUAGUCAAAUAAGAUCAACAAACUGAGUUUUAAUUAGCAUAUGCAGAAAAGUUCAUAAAUAUGGAUGACUUAGUUUAAGAUGGUUUUAUGAGUAUUUAUUAAGCAUCAAUGAUUUUAUUUCAGUGAUGUUGUUUGUUAUUAUUUAGGGACAUUAAGAAGCAUAUUAGUAAAUGCACAGCAGUGCUUUUGGCUAUUAUUUAUUUACACCUUACCUGACCUUUAACCUUUGCACGGGAGCAACUCUACUGCAUUGUUUAGUCUGUUUUUUUUUUUUCUUUUUUUUACAAUUUUUAUGUUAGAAGCUGAUUGUCUAGGUGUUUUUUUAAGGGGUUUUACAAUUUAGAUUCAGUCUUAUUUAGAGUUGGAUUUACUCUAAAUAUAUCUGUAUAUAUAUUUAUUUUUUGAUCCAAACCUGAAAAGGAAAUGGUUGUUCUACUUUUUCAUUUGUAGUUUGUGUAGGGUCCAUUUUUACCGUUUUUUUUUUUUUUUUUUAAAUGGUUGUAAGUUUUACUUUAAAGUGUGCCGCUUCUGCAGUAUUUUAAAAUGUUUAUUUGAAAGAGCCAUAUGUUUUUAUGGUUGGGACUGUAUUAUUAAAAUAUGUUUUAUCAAACCAGCAAUCUGCCCGUUAGUAGAGAACUCAUAAACUGAACUGAACUUGCUAGGUUUUCUUUUUUUAUUAUUGUUACCAUAUAAUUAUUCCAAAAAAUAUUUGUAUUGUUAAAAAGUUGCUUAUGCAGUGUAGUGAUGGAUUUUACAAAUCAUAUACAGAAGAUUAAAUGUUUUUAAAUAUAUUGUAAUAAUAAAAUGCUGGUUGGUCAA